UGGGGAAUUUUGGACAAUGGGCGAAAGCCUGAUCCAGCAAUGCCGCGUGUGCGAAGAAGGCCUUCGGGUUGUAAAGCACUUUUGUCCGGAAAGAAAUCCUUGGCUCUAAUACAGUCGGGGGAUGACGGUACCGGAAGAAUAAGCACCGGCUAACUACGUGCCAGCAGCCGCGGUAAUACGUAGGGUGCAAGCGUUAAUCGGAAUUACUGGGCGUAAAGCGUGCGCAGGCGGUUUGCUAAGACCGAUGUGAAAUCCCCGGGCUCAACCUGGGAACUGCAUUGGUGACUGGCAGGCUAGAGUAUGGCAGAGGGGGGUAGAAUUCCACGUGUAGCAGUGAAAUGCGUAGAGAUGUGGAGGAAUACCGAUGGCGAAGGCAGCCCCCUGGGCCAAUACUGACGCUCAUGCACGAAAGCGUGGGGAGCAAACAGGAUUAGAUACCCUGGUAGUCCACGCCCUAAACGAUGUCAACUAGUUGUUGGGGAUUCAUUUCCUUAGUAACGUAGCUAACGCGUGAAGUUGACCGCCUGGGGAGUACGGUCGCAAGAUUAAAACUCAAAGGAAUUGACGGGGUCAUAGCUGUUUCCU
RNAcentral lists this ribosomal RNA (585 nucleotides) under uncultured bacterium. RNAcentral describes it as "partial 16S ribosomal RNA". It matches the Rfam family "Bacterial small subunit ribosomal RNA", at positions 355 to 1375 of the family's 1533-position model. The record is from RNAcentral.